Molecule: unclassified non-coding RNA, 288 nt
Filed under: uncultured bacterium
Lineage: Bacteria
Description: partial contains 16S ribosomal RNA and 16S-23S ribosomal RNA intergenic spacer region
Rfam family: Bacterial small subunit ribosomal RNA
Source: RNAcentral
ACGAUGAAGCCCUUCGGGGUGGAUUAGUGGCGAAUUGGUCAGUAACACGUGGGCAAUCUGCCCUGCACUCUGGGACAAGCCCUGGAAACGGGGUCUAAUACCGGAUACGACCCGGGGAGGCAUCUCCUUGGGUGGAAAGCUCCGGCGGUGCAGGAUGAGCCCGCGGCCUAUCAGCUUGUUGGUGAGGUAACGGCUCACCAAGGCGACGACGGGUAGCCGGCCUGAGAGGGCGACCGGCCACACUGGGACUGAGACACGGCCCAGACUCCUACGGGAGGCAGCAGUGGG